This 425-nucleotide ribosomal RNA is filed under the name uncultured bacterium. RNAcentral's name for it is "bacterial SSU rRNA". It matches the Rfam family "Bacterial small subunit ribosomal RNA", at positions 917 to 1344 of the family's 1533-position model. The record is from RNAcentral.
GGACCCGCACAAGCGGUGGAGCAUGUGGUUUAAUUCGAUGCAACGCGAAAAACCUUACCUACACUUGACAUACUUGGAAUCUUUUGUAAUGAAAGAGUGCCUUUUGGAGCCAAGAUACAGGUGCUGCAUGGCUGUCGUCAGCUCGUGUCGUGAGAUGUUGGGUUAAGUCCCAUAACGAGCGCAACCCUUACCCUUAUUUGCCAGCGAUUCGGUCGGGAACUAUAAGGGGACUGCCGGUGAUAAACCGGAGGAAGGUGAGGACGACGUCAAGUCAUCAUGGCCCUUACGUGUAGGGCUACACACGUGCUACAAUGGGGAGUACAGAUAGACGCUACUUCGCGAGAAGAUGCAAAUCUCAAAAAGCUGUCUCAGUUCGGAUUGUUGUCUGCAACUCGACAACAUGAAGUCGGAAUCGCUAGUAAUCG